This 1723-nucleotide long non-coding RNA is filed under the name Homo sapiens (human). Its description in RNAcentral is "HSALNT0039854". The record is from RNAcentral. Lineage: Eukaryota; Metazoa; Chordata; Mammalia; Primates; Hominidae.
CCGGCGGCUCAGUCUCGGAACCCGCAGCCGGGAGCGCAGGGCGGGCCACACAGGGCGCCAGCACCUCCCACGAGCUCCGCGGGCCUCGCAUCCGGAAGACGCCCCGGCUGACCGCGCGAAUGGCUCGCGCUGCCGCGGACACCCGCCUGCCAGGGACGGGGCCUCUCUCCUGGGCCGUUUCAUCUCACCGAGAGCGAGAUCCGCUUUCCUAGAGGCUGGGAGGACCAGGCCCGGGCACAGGACUGGCUUCGCACCACUGGCCCCGCAGUCGGGUCCCCGGGGACGCGCCACGGGUCACUGCUGCCUGCUAAAGCGACACAAGGCGCCUUCAUUCCUCAGGCCGAGGCGGCCGAACGCCUUGGCUCUGGCCGACAGUGAGCACCCACUGCGAGUCCGCACACACUGCAGCGCCCCCGGGCACGCCCCGCAGUCCGCCCAGCGUCCCCCGGGGCGGGGCACAGCCAGAGGACGGCCCGAGAGCCCUGCUGUCCCCGUCAGCGCCGCAGGAGGGCGCGACUUCCCCGCUGGGCCGAGGCCUUUGCCGGGCCCUCUACUGUACGCCGGUCCUAGGGCUGGGACCGCCGUCCUGGACCGACCUCAGCCCACUGUUCUGCGGAGGCCGCGUGUUGGGCGACAGCAGCCACCCAGCCCGGAAGCAGCCGUUCCGAGCGCAGGGGCGCCAAGAGCCCCGCGCCCCGCCUGUGCGCCGGCCCUGAGACUUGGAACGAUGGUGCAGGCAGGAGGGGUCACCGGUAGGGAUGCCACUGGAGGGACUGGGCCGUCCACACGGACCAGCUGACACACUAAGUGCUGGGUACACAGCAGGACAAUGGCAAGGGCUGCUCAGACUGCGUUUUUAAAAUCGCCUCACCACGAAAGACAGAAAGUAGGGAAGGGUACCUUGCUGUGGCCAAGGCCGCCCUCGCUGAGUCAGCUGGCAUUCCCACGACUCCACGAGUCCCCAAAGGGCUUGUCAGAGCCCAGCGGCACCCUCGCCCUGGAAGUGCCCUGCGUCCUCCUCAAGAGCCUUAUUUGGGACAGAGAUCAGAUCAACCGCGCCACCACCCUCCCACCCACCUUCCACAUGUGAUAGGGUCGCAGGAAUGGGGAGCCUCGCAGAGGCGCGGCGGCAGCUCUCGCCUGCCAGUGACAGCCCACCUCCCACUUUAAAACAGGACGUUCCGAGUCCUGGUUCCACAUGUUCAAAAGGCCGUGGCAUGGGGGAGUGGGCCUACACCUGAGCUUUGGCUGCGAAAACACUCAUUUCAAGGAUAGCUGCUAGGCGCUGCCUUCCCCCAUCCCCCUGCUGUUGGCCCCCAUCCAAGCAUCUCCAGCCUCUGCCAGGCUAUGGACAUCCGUUGCUGGAAAAGCUGGGAAGAGGGCUGGCAGUGGAGACGCUUCAGGUGCACCGUGUGGACAGACAAGGUUGCAAGUGAUGCUGGUCCUCAAGUGAAGUCUCACUCUGUCACCUGGGCUGGAGUGCAAUGGUGCGACCUCAGCUCACUGCAACCUCCACCUCCUGGGUUCAAGCGAUUCUCCUGUCUCAGCCUCCCAAGUAGUUGGGAUUACAGGCACGCGCCACCACACCCGGCUAAUUUUUGUACUUUUUUUUUAGUAGAGAUGGAGUUUCACCAUGUUGGCCAGGCUGGUCUCAAACUCCUGACCUCAGGUGAUCCACCCACGUUGGCCUCCCAAAGUGCUGGGAUUACAGGCAUGAGCCACU